RNAcentral lists this ribosomal RNA (471 nucleotides) under uncultured bacterium. RNAcentral's name for it is "bacterial SSU rRNA". It matches the Rfam family "Bacterial small subunit ribosomal RNA", at positions 1036 to 1509 of the family's 1533-position model. The record is from RNAcentral.
AGGUGCUGCAUGGCUGUCGUCAGCUCGUGUGUGAAUGUUGGGUUAAGUCCCGCAACGAGCGCAACCCUUAUCCUUUGUUGCCAGCGGUUAGGCCGGGAACUCAAAGGAGACUGCCAGUGAUAAACUGGAGGAAGGUGGGGAUGACGUCAAGUCAUCAUGGCCCUUACGAGUAGGGCUACACACGUGCUACAAUGGCGCAUACAAAGAGAAGCGACCUCGCGAGAGCAAGCGGACCUCAUAAAGUGCGUCGUAGUCCGGAUUGGAGUCUGCAACUCGACUCCAUGAAGUCGGAAUCGCUAGUAAUCGUGGAUCAGAAUGCCACGGUGAAUACGUUCCCGGGCCUUGUACACACCGCCCGUCACACCAUGGGAGUGGGUUGCAAAAGAAGUAGGUAGCUUAACCUUCGGGAGGGCGCUUACCACUUUGUGAUUCAUGACUGGGGUGAAGUCGUAACAAGGUAAGCGUAGUGCU